This 593-nucleotide ribosomal RNA is filed under the name Lodderomyces orthopsilosis. RNAcentral's name for it is "eukaryotic LSU rRNA". It matches the Rfam family "Eukaryotic large subunit ribosomal RNA", at positions 48 to 657 of the family's 3401-position model. Lineage: Eukaryota; Fungi; Ascomycota; Pichiomycetes; Serinales; Debaryomycetaceae. The record is from RNAcentral.
UAGCGGAGGAAAAGAAACCAACAGGGAUUGCCUUAGUAGCGGCGAGUGAAGCGGCAAAAGCUCAAAUUUGAAAUCUGGCACUUUCAGUGUCCGAGUUGUAAUUUGAAGAAGGUAUCUUUGGGUCUGGCUCUUGUCUAUGUUUCUUGGAACAGAACGUCACAGAGGGUGAGAAUCCCGUGCGAUGAGAUGUCCCAGACCUAUGUAAAGUUCCUUCGAAGAGUCGAGUUGUUUGGGAAUGCAGCUCUAAGUGGGUGGUAAAUUCCAUCUAAAGCUAAAUAUUGGCGAGAGACCGAUAGCGAACAAGUACAGUGAUGGAAAGAUGAAAAGAACUUUGAAAAGAGAGUGAAAAAGUACGUGAAAUUGUUGAAAGGGAAGGGCUUGAGAUCAGACUUGGUAUUUUGUAUGUUACUCUCUCGGGGGUGGCCUCUACAGUUUACCGGGCCAGCAUCAGUUUGGGCGGUAGGACAAUUGCAAAGAAAUGUGGCACUGCCUCGGUAGUGUGUUAUAGUCUUUGUCGAUACUGCCAGCCUAGACUGAGGACUGCGGCUUCGGCCUAGGAUGUUGGCAUAAUGAUCUUAAGUCGCCCGUCUUGA